UUAAGGUUUAAUCUGCUCAAUGAUUAUUUAAAUUGCCGCAGUAUUUUGACUGUGCAAAGGUAGCAUAAUAAUUAGUUUCUUUAUUGGGAACUGGAAUGAAUGAUUGGACGAGAAAAUUUCUGUCUCUUUAUUAUUUUAAUUGAAUUUUACUUUUAAGUUAAAAGGCUUAAAUUUUAUUAGAGGACGAGAAGACCCUAUAGAGUUUAAUUUUUAUUUAAAUAAUUAUUUUUAGUAUUUAUAUAUAUUAUUUAAAUAAAAAUUUAGUUGGGGUGACUAAAAGAUAAGAAUAACUCUUUUAAUUUUUAUCAAUUAUUUUUGAUUAUAAAAUCUUUAUUUUUAAUUUUAAAAUAAAUUACCUUAGGGAUAACAGCGUAAUUCUUUUUUAAAGUUCUUAUUAAAAGAAGAGUUUGCGACCUCGAUGUUGGAUUAAAAUUAAUUUUAGGUGUAGAAGCUUGAAAAUUAAGUCUGUUCGACUUUUAAAAUUUUACAUGAUCUGAGUUUAAACCGGUGUGAGCCAGGUUGGUUUCUAU
This 530-nucleotide ribosomal RNA is filed under the name Pteroptyx tener. RNAcentral's name for it is "partial large subunit ribosomal RNA". It matches the Rfam family "Bacterial large subunit ribosomal RNA", at positions 1847 to 2641 of the family's 2925-position model. Lineage: Eukaryota; Metazoa; Arthropoda; Insecta; Coleoptera; Lampyridae. The record is from RNAcentral.